RNAcentral lists this long non-coding RNA (1373 nucleotides) under Anolis carolinensis (green anole). RNAcentral's name for it is "lncRNA (ENSACAG00000035078.1)". Lineage: Eukaryota; Metazoa; Chordata; Lepidosauria; Squamata; Anolidae. The record is from RNAcentral.
AUGGAAUAUGACGCCACAAACCUAUCUUUAAAACCAGGCAAGAUCCCAACUAAAGAGUUUCCAAGGUGCUACAGAUUAGCACAUUGGGAAAUGAUGACUCUUCUGAUCAUAGCUGCACUGAAAGAAGCAAUUGCAGAAAACCCAAAGAGACCCUCCGGAUGCUUUGUCUCAACAUACUCUGCAGUGAGAAUAUCUGUUUCCAGGUGGAAGGCGGUCCUGGUCAGGGUUGGCUUGACACACCUUCCUCUUGGCACAUUUCUCUCUUUCACCCUCCAUUUGCGCCUCUUUGAAUUCCACUGCACUGCUGGUCUAAGGUAUAUAAUUCCUUAUUAUAUGUGUGGGUGAUGCUGAGGAGUGGUGGUUUUAGAAGAUGCAAUUCCAGGGCAGUGUAUAUGAGUUUAAUGUGUUAAUAAGUUAAUGUGUUUAACAAAUUACUUGGAAGUUACUGUUUAUUCCAAUUAUACUAAAAAUAGUUAUUUUUUGCUUGUAAUGGCCAUGGCUGUGAUUCACUUCUUUUUAGAUGAAUAAGAAAGGAUUUUGUUACUGCUCCUGAGUAUUGAUUGUAUGCAGUGACUCAGUAUGAGGAUGAGGGAGGAAUGGUAACUUGGGCAGCUGUCUUAUACAGCAGCAGCUAGGAGGAAUUUCCUUGUAAUUUUUCCAAUUUUUCCAGAAUUUCCAAGGUGCAAUAUCUGAUAUAGCCACUUGGUGGAACCAGAACCAGAGAACAUUUCCCCAUAUUUUUUUAACUAUAACAAAAUAGGAACUUUUUAGUAAUGAUGAGUAACUCAACAAAUUAUUUUUCUAGUUAGUCAUAACAGUAUUAGCUAAUGACCUGUUGGGUGAUUAUUAGAGCUGGCAUCCUGCUGAUGUACCUUGGCAGAGCACAGUGCACAUCAAACCACUUUUUCUGGUUCACUUGUUUGCCAUUCAUUGGAAGGGUUCCGUAGUACCAUACUACAUAGUAGAGUAUGUGUAAAGUUACACAGCAUAGUCCAUGACAUAGCAUUGUAACCAACAAGAACAGUGCCUCGAUUUGCCAGCCAGUCACCUUGACAUGGGAAGGAGGGGAUUCAGUGGCAUUGCUGAGGGGUUCAAGGGGUGAGGACCAAAUUGAGCGACACUAUCAGAGGGGGAUGACACCAAAAUGACUGUCUAUACAAUGUUGUGUUGAUGCUGUGCCCAGUCAGGUGAUCCUUCCUUCUUGUUUCUCUCCAUCAAGUAGAUUUUGGUGGCCCUGAAAAUGAUGUACACUCCUCUGUCCCAUAUUGCUGAAUGGACUGUGCCUUAAACUCUUCAUAACUUGCUCAAGUCUCUUUCAGAACAUCAUCUUCCAUCCUUCACCCUACUUGUUCAAAGGGAGGAAAUUUGACACC